RNAcentral lists this ribosomal RNA (216 nucleotides) under Glomeromycotina sp. RNAcentral's name for it is "partial small subunit ribosomal RNA". The stretch from base 40 to 216 matches the Rfam family "Eukaryotic small subunit ribosomal RNA", at positions 686 to 864 of the family's 1831-position model. The record is from RNAcentral. Lineage: Eukaryota; Fungi; Glomeromycota.
GGGUCAGUAGGUUGGUCGUGCCACCGGUACGUACUGGUCUCACUGAUUCCUCCUUCCUGAAGAACCGUAAUGCCAUUAAUUUGGUGUUGCGGGGAGACAGGACUGUUACUUUGAAAAAAUUAGAGUGUUUAAAGCAAGCUAACGCUUGAAUACAUUAGCAUGGAAUAAUGAAACAGGACGAUCGAUCCUAUUUUGUUGGUUUCUAGGAUUGACGUA